GUCAGACCUGCGAGGAGAAGGUCAUCCAGAGGUAAGAGUUCCCAUAGGGAACCGCCUUCUCCUGCCGCCAAUUGGCGGUCUUGCAGGUCAGGAGGU
RNAcentral lists this non-coding RNA (96 nucleotides) under unclassified sequences. RNAcentral describes it as "DUF1874 RNA". It matches the Rfam family "DUF1874 RNA". Rfam says of the family: Hot springs metagenome only. The record is from RNAcentral.